UAUUAUAUAGGAUGUUUUCUUUAGAAAUGUGAUUUAUUUAGUAACACAUUACUAAAUAUAAUGAUUUUUAGAUUAAAAUCUUUCAAAGAAUAAAGCUCUUGGGGAAAAGAAAGAAUCUGAUUAUUGAGAGAAGAGACUGAGAAGCGUUAACAUAACAGCUCUACAUGGCAACACCAGUAUCCCCUUAAGAACUCCUGCCAAGUACUGAGGGCUCUGACUAGGGAAUGUAUAAGGAGGUUGCACAUCCUUUGUAUUGAUGAAUGAAUCCUAACUUGAGGGGGGCAGUCAGUUCACUAAUCAUAUUGUAACAACAUAUCCUUAACAACCACCUGCUCCUGCCCUGUAUUUUGACAUAGCUCCGCACAUCUUUAUUUACUGUCCUUAACACCCGGAGGCUACUUGAAGAAGGAUUUAAUUUUCAAAGUCCAGUCACUUGAUGCCUAGCCCUGCCACUAAUGUCUUGGUCAGCUCCUGGCAAAAGCCCAUCUGUCAACAUCAACAUCAACCUCAUUACCACCUCAAAUGAGUCCACACUGCAAAUUUACUCCAUUAUAUUUAGGACUUUCCAGAGGUUCAAGAUAACCUGGACCGAGGCCUGUGAAGAGGUUUCAUUUAGAAGUUGCCUGACAAAGUCAUAUGUAAUGUCUAAACCAAAUUUUGUCACAUGGGAGCUAU
Myotis brandtii (Brandt's bat) is the source of this 675-nucleotide long non-coding RNA. RefSeq lists it as uncharacterized. The transcript has 3 exons. The record is from RefSeq and is a predicted model, not a curated record. Lineage: Eukaryota; Metazoa; Chordata; Mammalia; Chiroptera; Vespertilionidae.